Molecule: ribosomal RNA, 541 nt
Filed under: Halomonas caseinilytica
Lineage: Bacteria; Pseudomonadati; Pseudomonadota; Gammaproteobacteria; Oceanospirillales; Halomonadaceae
Description: bacterial SSU rRNA
Rfam family: Bacterial small subunit ribosomal RNA
Source: RNAcentral
AAUGCAUAGGAAUCUGCCCGGUAGUGGGGGAUAACCUGAGGAAACUCAGGCUAAUACCGCAUACGUCCUACGGGAGAAAGCAGGGGCUCUUCGGACCUUGCGCUAUCGGAUGAGCUUAUGUCGGAUUAGCUGGUUGGUGAGGUAACGGCUCACCAAGGCGACGAUCCGUAGCUGGUCUGAGAGGAUGAUCAGCCACAUCGGGACUGAGACACGGCCCGAACUCCUACGGGAGGCAGCAGUGGGGAAUAUUGGACAAUGGGGGCAACCCUGAUCCAGCCAUGCCGCGUGUGUGAAGAAGGCCCUCGGGUUGUAAAGCACUUUCAGUGAGGAAGAAGGCUUGUCGGUUAAUACCCGGCAAGAAAGACAUCACUCACAGAAGAAGCACCGGCUAACUCCGUGCCAGCAGCCGCGGUAAUACGGAGGGUGCGAGCGUUAAUCGGAAUUACUGGGCGUAAAGCGUGCGUAGGCGGCUUGAUAAGCCGGUUGUGAAAGCCCCGGGCUCAACCUGGGAACGGCAUCCGGAACUGUCAGGCUAGAGUGC